This 104-nucleotide small nucleolar RNA is filed under the name Pongo abelii (Sumatran orangutan). RNAcentral describes it as "Small nucleolar RNA U3 (ENSPPYG00000038239.1)". It matches the Rfam family "Small nucleolar RNA U3", at positions 1 to 107 of the family's 219-position model. Rfam says of the family: Small nucleolar RNAs (snoRNAs) are involved in the processing and modification of rRNA in the nucleolus. There are two main classes of snoRNAs: the box C/D class, and the box H/ACA class. The record is from Rfam by way of RNAcentral. Lineage: Eukaryota; Metazoa; Chordata; Mammalia; Primates; Hominidae.
AAGACCAUACUUUCAGGGAUUAUUUCUGCAGUUCAUUACUAAAGAAGUUUCUAUGAAUGAGUAGAGCAAAACAAAAACAAAAACAGAAACAAAAUUCUAGCUGU